AUUGAGCGCUGGCGGCAUGCCUAACACAUGCAAGUCGAACGGUAACGCAAGGAGCUUGCUCCUUGGCGACGAGUGGCGGACGGGUGAGUAAUGCUUAGGAAUCUGCCCAGUAGUGGGGGGACAACUCGGGGAAACUCGAGCUAAUACCGCAUACGCCCUAUGGGGGAAAGUGGAGGAUCUUCGGACUUCACGCUAUUGGAUGAGCCUAAGUCGGAUUAGCUUGUUGGUGAGGUAAAGGCUCACCAAGGCGACGAUCCGUAGCUGGUCUGAGAGGACGAUCAGCCACACUGGGACUGAGACACGGCCCAG
This 309-nucleotide ribosomal RNA is filed under the name uncultured bacterium. Its description in RNAcentral is "bacterial SSU rRNA". It matches the Rfam family "Bacterial small subunit ribosomal RNA", at positions 30 to 334 of the family's 1533-position model. The record is from RNAcentral.